Molecule: small RNA, 324 nt
Filed under: uncultured bacterium
Lineage: Bacteria
Description: bacterial SSU rRNA
Rfam family: Bacterial small subunit ribosomal RNA
Source: RNAcentral
GAAAGUUCCCUUCGGGGAGCGAGUAAAGCGGCGGACGGGUGAGUAACACGUGGGCAACCUGCCCCUGGGAUCGGGAUAACGUGCCGAAAGGUGCGCUAAUACCGGAUAAGACCACACGGACUAAUGUCCGAGCGGUAAAAGAUGGUCUCUGCUUGCAAACUAUUACCUGGGGAUGGGCCCGCGGCCUAUUAGCUAGUUGGUAGGGUAACGGCCUACCAAGGCGAUGAUGGGUAGCCGGCCUGAGAGGGUGUACGGCCACACGGGGACUGGGACACGGCCCCGAGUCCUACGGGAGGCAGCAGUGGAUCUGAAGAAAAACUCGAG